AAUAGAUACCCUGGUAGUCCAUGCCGUAAACGAUGUCUACUAGCCGUUGGGGCCCUUGAGGCUUUAGUGGCGCAGCUAACGCGAUAAGUAGACCGCCUGGGGAGUACGGUCGCAAGACUAAAACUCAAAUGAAUUGACGGGGGCCCGCACAAGCGGUGGAGCAUGUGGUUUAAUUCGAUGCAACGCGAAGAACCUUACCUGGCCUUGACAUACAGAGAACUUUCCAGAGAUGGAUUGGUGCCUUCGGGAACUCUGAUACAGGUGCUGCAUGGCUGUCGUCAGCUCGUGUCGUGAGAUGUUGGGUUAAGUCCCGCAACGAGCGCAACCCUUUUCCUUAUUUGCCAGCACUUCGGGUGGGAACUUUAAGGAUACUGCCAGUGACAAACUGGAGGAAGGCGGGGACGACGUCAAGUCAUCAUGGCCCUUACGGCCAGGGCUACGACACGUGCUACAAUGGUCGGUACAAAGGGUUGCUACUGCGCGAGCAGAUGCUAAUCUCAAAAAGCCGAUCGUAGUCCGGAUCGC
This 525-nucleotide ribosomal RNA is filed under the name uncultured bacterium. RNAcentral's name for it is "bacterial SSU rRNA". It matches the Rfam family "Bacterial small subunit ribosomal RNA", at positions 777 to 1301 of the family's 1533-position model. The record is from RNAcentral.